UUUUUAUGGAGAGUUUGAUCCUGGCUCAGGAUGAAUGCUGGCGGCGUGCCUAACACAUGCAAGUCGAGCGGUAACAGGUCUAGUUUACUA
This 90-nucleotide ribosomal RNA is filed under the name Candidatus Saccharibacteria bacterium RIFCSPHIGHO2_12_FULL_47_16. RNAcentral describes it as "partial 16S ribosomal RNA". It matches the Rfam family "Bacterial small subunit ribosomal RNA", at positions 1 to 85 of the family's 1533-position model. Lineage: Bacteria; Candidatus Saccharimonadota. The record is from RNAcentral.